UACGACUACAUAUCAGGCAUAUCAAUAAGCGGAGGAAAAGAAACUAGCUAGGAUUCCCUCAGUAACGGCGAGUGAAGCGGGAAGAGCUCAAAUUUGAAAUCUUCAAGGUUUUACCUUGACGAAUUGUAGUUUAAAGAAGUGUUUUCUGUUGGUGUUUUGGUAAAAGUUCUUUGGAAUAGGACACCAUAGAGGGUGAGAAUCCCGUAUUUGACCAUUACUUCCAGCGUUGUGAUACACUUUCAAAGAGUCGGAUUGUUUGGGAAUGCAGUCCAAAAUGGGUGGUAAAUUUCAUCUAAAGCUAAAUAUUGGCGAGAGACCGAUAGCGAACAAGUACCGUGAGGGAAAGAUGAAAAGAACUUUGAAAAGAGAGUUAAACAGUACGUGAAAUUGUCAAAAGGGAAGCGUUUGACACCAGUGUUGUUUUUCCGAAAAUCAAUUACGAAUGUUUUGUUUUUAAGAGAGUUAUGACUUCAUCGGCUUGCUCCUUUCUUUACGAAACUUUCUUAAUGCACUUUUCGGUUAACAAGUCAACAUCAAUUUCUUUUGUUGUAAAAGGGUAUGAGGAAGGUGGCUUUCUUUUCGGAGAAAGUGUUUAUAGCCUUGUGCCUCUGCAAUCGGAGAGAUUGAGGUCUGCAGCGUAGAUCCUUCGGGGUUGGAUACAUUUGUGCUAAGUUAUAGUUUUUCAUAGACAACAUGUUGACUAUGAUUAGUCAUGUAGCUUACUCGCUUAUGCUAUUUUACCUACGCUUAGGAUGUUGAUCUCUCACAGUCGAGC
This 775-nucleotide ribosomal RNA is filed under the name uncultured Neocallimastigales. RNAcentral describes it as "partial large subunit ribosomal RNA". It matches the Rfam family "Eukaryotic large subunit ribosomal RNA", at positions 24 to 645 of the family's 3401-position model. The record is from RNAcentral. Lineage: Eukaryota; Fungi; Neocallimastigomycota; Neocallimastigomycetes; Neocallimastigales.